CGGAAACUUUCUCUCUCCAGAAUAGUAUUGCACAGAGCUCGGUGUUCAAGAGUGAAAUCCCAUGGCACUGCAGGUCCCCACGCAUCAACCUCUCCAUAUUCCCUGCCAGUCAACGUUCUCUGGUUUUGGGGAAGACUUCUUCCACAUGACAUGAACAGAGAGGAAUACAUUCAGGGAGACUGGAAACAUGAGCAUGAACGUGAUCACUAACUCGGCAUUCCAAAAACGUGUAAAGAACUGAGAAGAGAGCCUGGAAACCGGUUUGAACAUCGUGUUGUUGGUAAAGUCAGCUAUUCCAUCUGUCAGUAUUCACAUCAUACAACACUGCAGGUAGGUACCAGGCAGGUGUCUCCAUCAGUGCCCUCACUUGGUUAUGUAUACAUACACAAAUCCACAGCAGGAAAUGAUGAACUUAAUAGGAAACCAGUAAGUUCCAAAAAACACCAUGGCCUUUAAUCCUUUAUACAGCACUCCUAAAAUGAAGAACAGAUUCAUAGCUGGCAGUUGCUAAAAAGGAAAAAAAAAAAA
Molecule: non-coding RNA, 528 nt
Organism: Meleagris gallopavo (turkey)
Lineage: Eukaryota; Metazoa; Chordata; Aves; Galliformes; Phasianidae
Source: RefSeq, a predicted model, not a curated record